UACAGGGGGUGCAAACGUUGCUCGGAAUUAUUGGGCGUAAAGCGCGCGUAGGCGGCCACUUAAGUCGGAUGUGAAAGCCCCUGGCUCAACUGGGGAAGUGCACCCGAAACUGUGAAGCUUGAGGCUGGGAGAGGAGAUCGGAAUUCCUGGUGUAGCGGUGAAAUGCGUAGAUAUCAGGAGGAACACCGGUGGCGAAGGCGGAUCUCUGGACCAGUUCUGACACUGAUGAGCGAAAGCCAGGGGAGCAAACAGG
Molecule: ribosomal RNA, 253 nt
Filed under: uncultured bacterium
Lineage: Bacteria
Description: partial 16S ribosomal RNA
Rfam family: Bacterial small subunit ribosomal RNA
Source: RNAcentral